UGUUGCCAAAGGACUUUCACAUUUGAGUCAGUGGACUGGGAGAGGCAGACACACCCUUAAUCUGGGUGGGCACCAUCUAAUCAGUUGCAAGUACGGCUGGAAUAAAGCAGGCAGAAGAAGGUGAAAGAACUUGACUGGCUGAGUCUUCCGGCCUCCAUCUUUCUCCGUGCUGGAUGCUUCCUGCCCUCGAACAUCAGACUCCAAGUUCUUCAGGUUUUGGACUCCUAGACUCACACCAGUGGUUUGCCAGGGGCUCUACACCAGUGGUUUGCCAGUCUAUGGCUGAAGGCUGCGCUGUUGGAUUCCCUACUUUUGAAGUUUUGGGACUUAGACUGGCUUCCUUGCUCCUCAGCUUGCAGACAGCCUACUGUGGAAUUUCACUUUGUGAUUGUACUGUGAAUUCCAGCAAAACUAGUUUGAAGACCCCACAGAAGAUGGGGAUCAGCCUGAGAACACAGGUUCUUCCUCUCCCUGACCCUGGCACUUCACCCUGCAUUCUUCCACCAAUCAACAAUCUCUAUACUUCAGCCCACUCCAAAACCCUUAAAAACCCCAGCCCCGAACUCCUUGGGGAGCUGGAUUUGAGGUUUUUUCCCAUUUCCUUGUUCAGUGACCCUACAAUUAAAUCUCUUUCUCUGUUGCAA
Molecule: long non-coding RNA, 644 nt
Organism: Symphalangus syndactylus (siamang)
Lineage: Eukaryota; Metazoa; Chordata; Mammalia; Primates; Hylobatidae
Source: RefSeq, a predicted model, not a curated record